GGUGAGAUGGCCGAGCGGUCUAAGGCGCCACGUUAAGGUCUUCCUUAAUCAACAUCUACUUGUAGAUUCCGUGGUCCGAAAGGGCGUGGGUUCGAAUCCCACUCUCAUCA
Molecule: transfer RNA, 110 nt
Filed under: Apiosordaria backusii
Lineage: Eukaryota; Fungi; Ascomycota; Sordariomycetes; Sordariales; Lasiosphaeriaceae
Rfam family: tRNA
About the family: Transfer RNA (tRNA) molecules are approximately 80 nucleotides in length. Their secondary structure includes four short double-helical elements and three loops (D, anti-codon, and T loops).
Source: Rfam by way of RNAcentral